AGUGAACGCUGGCGGUAGGCCUAACACAUGCAAGUCGAACGGCAGCACAGUAAGAGCUUGCUCUUACGGGUGGCGAGUGGCGGACGGGUGAGGAAUACAUCGGAAUCUACUUUUUCGUGGGGGAUAACGUAGGGAAACUUACGCUAAUACCGCAUACGACCUACGGGUGAAAGCAGGGGAUCUUCGGACCUUGCGCGAUUGAAUGAGCCGAUGUCGGUUUAGCUAGUUGGCGGGGUAAAGGCCCACCAAGGCGACGAUCCGUAGCGGGUCUGAGGGGAUGAUCAGCCACACGGGAACUGAGACACGGUCCAGACUCCUACGGGAGGCAGCAGUGGGGAAUAUUGGACAAUGGGCGCAAGCCUGAUCCAGCCAUACCGCGUGGGUGAAGAAGGCCUUCGGGUUGUAAAGCCCUUUUGUUGGGAAAGAAAAGCAGCAGGUUAAUACCCCGCUGUUCUGACGGUACCCAAAGAAUAAGCUCCGGCUAACUUCGUG
RNAcentral lists this ribosomal RNA (492 nucleotides) under uncultured bacterium. RNAcentral's name for it is "partial 16S ribosomal RNA". It matches the Rfam family "Bacterial small subunit ribosomal RNA", at positions 29 to 507 of the family's 1533-position model. The record is from RNAcentral.